This 469-nucleotide ribosomal RNA is filed under the name uncultured anaerobic ammonium-oxidizing bacterium. RNAcentral's name for it is "bacterial SSU rRNA". It matches the Rfam family "Bacterial small subunit ribosomal RNA", at positions 365 to 824 of the family's 1533-position model. The record is from RNAcentral.
UUCGCAAUGCCCGAAAGGGUGACGAAGCGACGCCGCGUGGGUGAGGAAGGCCUUCGGGUUGUAAAGCCCUGUCAGGAGUUAAGAAAUGUAGAUUCGCUAAUAUCGGGUCUAUUUGACAAAGGCUCCAAAGGAAGCCACGGCUAACUCUGUGCCAGCAGCCGCGGUAAUACAGAGGUGGCAAGCGUUGUUCGGAAUUAUUGGGCGUAAAGAGCACGUAGGUGGAUUUGUAAGUCAGAUGUGAAAGCCUUCUGUUCAACGGAAGAAUUGCAUCUGAAACUACAAACCUUGAGUGUAGGAGGGGAGAAUGGAACUUCUGGUGGAGCGGUGAAAUGCGUAGAUAUCAGAAGGAACGCCGGCGGCGAAAGCGAUUCUCUGGCCUAUUACUGACACUCAGUGUGCGAAAGCUAGGGGAGCAAACGGGAUUAGAUACCCCGGUAGUCCUAGCCGUAAACGAUGGGCACUAAGUAGA